Molecule: ribosomal RNA, 1364 nt
Filed under: human metagenome
Description: bacterial LSU rRNA
Rfam family: Bacterial large subunit ribosomal RNA
Source: RNAcentral
GUCAUAGACGCGAAACCUAGUGAUCUAGGCCUGUCCAGGCUGAAGCUGAGGUAAGACUCAGUGGAGGGCCGAACUCACCGCCGUUGAAAAGUUGGGAGAUGAGAUAGGUCUAGGGGUGAAAAGCCAAUCGAACUAGGAGAUAGCUCGUUCUCUCCGAAAUGCAUUUAGGUGCAGCCUUGGUUGAAGAUAUGCGGGGGUAGAGCACUGUAUGGCCUAGGGGGCGUAUAGCUUACCGAAGUCAAGCAAACUGCGAAUACCGUAUAUUGUUUACUGGGAGUGAGUCUAUGGAUGACAAGGUCCGUGGACGAGAGGGGAACAGCCCAGACCGCCGGCUAAGGUCCCAAAUCAUGUCUAAGUGGGAAAGGAGGUGGAUAUUCACAGACAACCAGGAGGUUGGCUUAGAAGCAGCCAUACCUUGAAAGAGUGCGUAAUAGCUCACUGGUCGAGAGUAUCUGCGCCGAAGAUAUAACGGGGCUAAGACAUGAACCGAAGCCGCGGAAUUAGUUUAUGCUAAUUGGUAGGAGAGCGUUCUGUAGGCCGUAGAAGGGGUGUUGUAAGACAUUCUGGAGGUAUCAGAAGUGAGAAUGCAGGAAUGAGUAGCGAGAAGGAGGGCGAGAAUCCCUCCGGCCGGAAGUCCAAGGUUUCCAGGGGAAGGUUUGUCCGCCCUGGGGGAGUCGGGACCUAAGCAUAAGCAGAGCUGCGAAGGCGAAUGGAAAACAGGUUAAUAUUCCUGUACCGCUGUGUACUGUCUGAGAGAUGGAGUGACGCAGGAAGGUAUGCGGGAAGGCUGACGGAAUAGCCUUUCUAAGGGUGAAGCGUGGACAUGCAGGCAAAUCCGCAUGUUUAUACGUGAGGCCUGAUGGGGAAGUGCCAUAUGGCAUAAGCCGCAGAUCCUACACUGCCGGGAAAAACUUCUAUUGAGGGAAGCAGCGCCCGUACUGUAAACCGACACAGGUGGACAGAGUGAGAAACUUAAGGCCGACAGGAUAACUCUGGCUAAGGAACUCUGCAAAAUGGCCCCGUAACUUAGGGAGAAGGGGUGCCUGAUAUACCUGAGAGGAGAGACACCUUAAGGGGAAACAGGCCGCAGUGAAGAGUCCCAAGCAACUGUUUACCAAAAACACAGGUCUAUGCUAAGCUGAAAGGCGACGUAUAUGGGCUGACACCUGCCCAGUGCCGGAAGGUUAAGAGGAGGAUUGAGAGAUUCGAAUUGAAGCCCCGGUGAACGGCGGCCGUAACUAUAACGGUCCUAAGGUAGCGAAAUUCCUUGUCGGGUAAGUUCCGACCUGCACGAAUGGUGAAAUGAUUUGGGAGCUGUCUUGGCCGGAGACCUGGUGAAGUUGUAAUGCCGGUGAAGAUACCGG